Molecule: ribosomal RNA, 253 nt
Filed under: uncultured bacterium
Lineage: Bacteria
Description: partial 16S ribosomal RNA
Rfam family: Bacterial small subunit ribosomal RNA
Source: RNAcentral
UACAGAGGGGGCAAGCGUUGUUCGGAAUUACUGGGCGUAAAGGGCGCGUAGGCGGCCUGCUAAGUCGAACGUGAAAUCCCUGGGCUCAACCCAGGAACUGCGUCCGAUACUGGUUGGCUUGAGUCCGGUAGGGGAGCGUGGAAUUCCUGGUGUAGCGGUGAAAUGCGCAGAUAUCAGGAGGAACACCGAUGGCGAAGGCGGCAUCCUGGACCGACACUGACACUGAGGAGCGAAAGCCAGGGGAGCAAACGGG